RNAcentral lists this long non-coding RNA (308 nucleotides) under Phoenix dactylifera (date palm). RNAcentral's name for it is "long non-coding RNA (PDAC_LNC014429)". The record is from RNAcentral. Lineage: Eukaryota; Viridiplantae; Streptophyta; Magnoliopsida; Arecales; Arecaceae.
AUCCAAGAAAGUUUGGGUUCCAAAAGGAACAUCAAGUACUAACCCUAAAGGACCCAACAUAGUUUGGGUACCUAAAGCUUAUUCUUGAUCUUGAUUGCAGGGGUGUCUUGCAGCUAAUAAGGUGGAUAAACGAUGGUAUCUAGAUAGCAGCUGUUCAAGACACAUGACAGGUGACGUAGAAUAAUUUAUCACCUUGGAAUCUAAGAAGGGUGGAGUAGUAACCUAUGGAGACAAUGGAAAAGGAUUUAUCAUUGGAAAGGGUAAAAUUUUUAUUACUCCAUCUACCUUUAUAGAAAAUGUCUUAUUAG